This is a small nucleolar RNA of 131 nucleotides. Its record names the gene SNORA70. It matches the Rfam family "Small nucleolar RNA SNORA70". From Rfam's summary of the family: snoRNA U70 seems to be exclusive to mammals and is a member of the H/ACA class of snoRNA which contain H (ANANNA) and ACA box motifs. H/ACA box snoRNAs are involved in the conversion of uridines to pseudouridines (5-ribosyluracil) a constituent of structural RNAs (transfer, ribosomal, small nuclear, and small nucleolar). The record is from Ensembl.
UUGCAGCCGGUUAGGCCAACGGCUCUUUUCCCUAUGGGAGUCCGGUGUGCAAUGCCUGCAAACAGCAGCCUCCUAGGUAGUGUAUGCAGCCUGUUGCUUAUAGGUUGCCCUAAGGGACCUUGGAAACAGCC